GUGCCAGCAGCCGCGGUAAUACAGAGGGUGCAAGCGUUAAUCGGAAUUACUGGGCGUAAAGCGUGCGUAGUCGGUUAUCUAAGUCGGGUGUGAAAUCCCCGGGCUCAACCUGGGAAUUGCAUUCGAUACUGGAUAGCUAGAGUUCGGCAGAGGGAAGCGGAAUUUCGGGUGUAGCGGUGAAAUGCGUAGAUAUCCGAAGGAACAUCAGUGGCGAAAGCGGCUUCCUGGACCAGAACUGACGAUCAGGCACGAAAGCGUGGGGAGCAAACAGGAUUAGAUACCCCGGUAGUCC
This 292-nucleotide ribosomal RNA is filed under the name uncultured bacterium. Its description in RNAcentral is "partial 16S ribosomal RNA". It matches the Rfam family "Bacterial small subunit ribosomal RNA", at positions 505 to 796 of the family's 1533-position model. The record is from RNAcentral.